RNAcentral lists this ribosomal RNA (698 nucleotides) under Acanthothamnus aphyllus. Its description in RNAcentral is "eukaryotic LSU rRNA". The stretch from base 280 to 435 matches the Rfam family "5.8S ribosomal RNA". The record is from RNAcentral. Lineage: Eukaryota; Viridiplantae; Streptophyta; Magnoliopsida; Celastrales; Celastraceae.
UUUCCGUAGGUGAACCUGCGGAAGGAUCAUUGUCGAAACCUGCAAAGCAGAAUGACCCGCGAACAAGUGAAAACUAUCACGGGUGGCAAAGCCUUUGGCCUAGCUGCCCAAAGUCUAGGCUUUAGGGCUGUGGGAAACCACAACCCCUUUGCUUGGGUACAAAAAACGAUCCCCGGCGUGAAUUGCGCCAAGGAACCAAAAGAAGAUGUGUGCUCUCAUCGUCCCGGAAACGGUGCUGCGAGGAGAUUGCAUCGUCGUUGAUAUCAUAUAAUACGAAACGACUCUCGGCAACGGAUAUCUCGGCUCUCGCAUCGAUGAAGAACGUAGCGAAAUGCGACACUUGGUGUGAAUUGCAGAAUCCCGCGAAUCAUCGAGUUUUUGAACGCAAGUUGCGCCCGAAGCCGUCAGGCCAAGGGCACGCCUGCCUGGGUGUCACGUAACGUCGCCACCAAUUCCCUCACCCACCUCCCAUGGGAAGUGAUGUGGAAUGGCGGAUAUUGGCCUCCCAUGCGCUCCCUCUUGUGGUUGGCCCAAAAUAAAGUCCCUUGGCGAUGGCCAGCCACGGCAUGCGGUGGUCGAAAGCGUAGCUCCUCGAAAACCGCCGUGGUGAGCCUUGUCGAUGCGGAACCCCAUGACCCCGAUGCAUGCGUCCUCACAAAGCGACCCCAGGUCAGGCGGGAACMCCCGCUGAGUUUAAG